GGGGGCGCCCUCGCAGCUGGGGUGAGGGCGGGUCCGAGGGAGCGUCCCUCUCGGAGACACCCUCCUCUUCAACCCAACACGCGCUCUCAGCUGGCCGGUGUGGCACAACCCUCCCCCCACCUCCCCUUCUUGGCCUUCGCCAGUGUGGGAGCCUCGUCUCACUGGAGAGUCCGUUCAGUAUCUAUUGGGAAACAACCCCUAGGCAAGGAGAAGAACCGGGGGCCGGAGCGGAGCGUGUUUCAGAGGUGCGUAUAAAAUCCCAGGGGCGCCAGGAGGCAGCAGCGACGGCGCAGCGUGGGACGGCCAGGCGCGACGGGAGGGAAGCAACCGGUUGCAGUCCGGCCUCCUGUACCUGGCUGGCCCGGGCUGGGGCUGCAAGCUUUCCAGCCAAACUUAUGUGAAGCAAAGUAGUUGCAGUUUGACAAAGAAUGGCGUUUCAAUAAAUGACAUAGUAAUUUUU
Molecule: long non-coding RNA, 460 nt
Filed under: Homo sapiens (human)
Lineage: Eukaryota; Metazoa; Chordata; Mammalia; Primates; Hominidae
Description: WT1 antisense RNA
Rfam family: WT1 antisense RNA conserved region 3 (bases 205-438)
Source: RNAcentral